UUGCUUUAGAGAAUGAGCUCACCUUACUCAGAAGAUAUGCCAAGUAAAAAAUUAGAAAUUGAACAAUUAGUUCCGCUCUUAAAUUUUGCACAACAGUCCAAAUUAUCCAAUAAAUCAUGUGUUAGCAGGGUCAGAUUAUAGAAGUUGAAUCACUUGUUCUAAAUUACCCAAUCCAAAUUAUGGAUGUUAAUAAUAUGCUUUCUGUUAGACUAUUAGUCAAAUUGUCGAAAGCCGGAGCUGGGUCGAGGAGCCGGCCUCCGCCUUUGGCCAUUACGUGAGAAGCAACACCGGUGUUGGCCGUUACCGUGUGCAGAAGCUUCAUCUGUGUACAUCAAGAUUGCUAAUUGCCAUCUGAAGGGUGAUAGUAAGCAUGAAGAUGCCUAAGCUUAUGAGGAAGCUGCAAACUGCGACCAAAAAUUUUCACUUCAGGGUAUUUCUUUUUACAAUUUACUGCGCAUGAUACAUAUCCUUCGCCAUUAACAUUCUUUUCCUCUC
Molecule: long non-coding RNA, 495 nt
Organism: Triticum aestivum (bread wheat)
Lineage: Eukaryota; Viridiplantae; Streptophyta; Magnoliopsida; Poales; Poaceae
Exons: 3
Source: RefSeq, a predicted model, not a curated record